GAUGACACGCAAAUUCGUGAAGCGU
RNAcentral lists this non-coding RNA (25 nucleotides) under Cricetulus griseus (Chinese hamster). The record is from RNAcentral. RNAcentral also lists the same sequence under 1 other name. Lineage: Eukaryota; Metazoa; Chordata; Mammalia; Rodentia; Cricetidae.